This 593-nucleotide unclassified non-coding RNA is filed under the name Hevea brasiliensis (rubber tree). Lineage: Eukaryota; Viridiplantae; Streptophyta; Magnoliopsida; Malpighiales; Euphorbiaceae. The record is from RNAcentral.
UGCCAAGAAUAAUCAUCUUCAAAACAAACAGCCAUCCACCAAAAAUAAAAAAAGAAUCACCUUCUACUAUUUGACCUGAAAGGAGCACCAAAUGAGAAAAGAAGAGAGAUGAAAAUAUGACAUUUACCAAUGAAAAUGUGUUAACAUCAGGCAGAUUCCUUAGCCUCUUCAGCUGCCUCUUCCUCUCGCAACUUCUUCAAAGAAGGAGGUGGUCUAGGAACAAUGCUUUUCUUCCAUUUCCGAUCAAGCUUCCUGGAUAUCCUUUUGUUAAUUCCUUCUUCCAUCUCACGCUCCCGUUUAACAGUAAGCAUUCGAGCAAUCCUUUUACGCAUCCGAAGAAACUCGCUUGACUUAAACUCAUUACGAGCUGAUCUUUGAAGACGAAGCAUGAAGAGCUCUCCUUUAAGGUCAACAAUCUCUUCCUGAAGCUCCUCAGUAGUUUUGGUUCGAAUUUCCUUCAAUUCGUCAUCUCUCUUCGCCAUAUUCACCACCAUUAAUGAAGAAGAGCGAGUGGUCGCUAUAGAAUGCGCGCUUCGAGCAUGAACCGGACAGACUUGAGCAAUUCGAACGCCAUGGAAGGAGGAUUUAGAGAG